CCUACGGGGUGCAGCAGUGGGGAAUAUUGGACAAUGGGCGAAAGCCUGAUCCAGCCAUGCCGCGUGUGUGAAGAAGGCCUUCGGGUUGUAAAGCACUUUCAGUGGGGAAGAAAGCCUUGGGGCUAAUACCCUCGAGGAAGGACAUCACCCACAGAAGAAGCACCGGCUAACUCCGUGCCAGCAGCCGCGGUAAUACGGAGGGUGCGAGCGUUAAUCGGAAUUACUGGGCGUAAAGCGCGCGUAGGCGGUCUGAUAAGCCGGUUGUGAAAGCCCCGGGCUCAACCUGGGAACGGCAUCCGGAACUGUCAGGCUAGAGUGCAGGAGAGGAAGGUAGAAUUCCCGGUGUAGCGGUGAAAUGCGUAGAGAUCGGGAGGAAUACCAGUGGCGAAGGCGGCCUUCUGGACUGACACUGACGCUGAGGUACGAAAGCGUGGGUAGCAAACAGGAUUAGAUACCCUAGUAGUC
Molecule: ribosomal RNA, 465 nt
Filed under: Vreelandella stevensii
Lineage: Bacteria; Pseudomonadati; Pseudomonadota; Gammaproteobacteria; Oceanospirillales; Halomonadaceae
Description: partial 16S ribosomal RNA
Rfam family: Bacterial small subunit ribosomal RNA
Source: RNAcentral